Molecule: transfer RNA, 64 nt
Filed under: Sparganum proliferum
Lineage: Eukaryota; Metazoa; Platyhelminthes; Cestoda; Diphyllobothriidea; Diphyllobothriidae
Description: tRNA-Lys
Source: RNAcentral
GCCUCAUAUAUCUAAUUUAAGUGCAGGGUUCUUACCCCUGUGAUGUGUUUUUUCACUGUGGGGU